RNAcentral lists this ribosomal RNA (439 nucleotides) under uncultured bacterium. RNAcentral's name for it is "partial 16S ribosomal RNA". It matches the Rfam family "Bacterial small subunit ribosomal RNA", at positions 339 to 795 of the family's 1533-position model. The record is from RNAcentral.
CUACGGGGCGCUCCAGUAAGGAAUAUUGCACAAUGGGGGAAACCCUGAUGCAGCAACGCCGCGUGGAGGAUGACGCAUUUCGGUGUGUAAACUCCUUUUAUGAGUCAAGAAAAUGACGGUAGCUCAUGAAUAAGCACCGGCUAACUCCGUGCCAGCAGCCGCGGUAAUACGGAGGGUGCAAGCGUUACUCGGAAUCACUGGGCGUAAAGGACGCGUAGGCGGGAUGUCAAGUCAGGUGUGAAAUCCUAUGGCUCAACCAUAGAACUGCACUUGAAACUGGCAACCUAGAGUAUGGGAGGGGGAGAUGGAAUUAGUGGUGUAGGGGUAAAAUCCGUAGAUAUCACUAGGAAUACCGAAAGCGAAGGCGAUCUCCUGGAACAUUACUGACGCUAAGGCGUGAAAGCGUGGGGAGCAAACAGGAUUAGAUACCCCAGUAGUC